GCUCGGGCCGCCCCUCCUCAGCCAGACAGUCCGCGCCGCAGCGGCUACCUGCCGCGAAGAGACGCCGAGACUGGGCGCGCCCAGCUGCACGUGGCGGACCCGCCCCCUGUCCCGCAGUGUCCUGGACCCCGCGGGCCUCCGCUCUCCAGUCCUCGGCCCGGCCCCAGGGCCACGAUGAGCUUCUUGAGCCUGCAGCAGCCGCCGUCGCCCAGCCGCACCGGGGCCGCCUGCACCCUGCGGCAGAAGCUGAUCUUCUCGCCCUGCAGCGACUUUGAGGAAGAAGAGGAAGAGGAGGAGGAGGAGGGCAGCGGCCACAGCACCGGGGAGGACACGGCCUUUCAAGAGCCCGACUCGCCGUUGCCGCUGCCGCCUGCGCGGAGCCCCAUGGAGCCUGGGCCCGAACGCCGCCACUCGCCCGGACAGGCCCCCGGGAGCGCCGGCGAGCUGGAGGAAGACCUGCUGCUGCCCGGCGCCUGCCUCGGCGCGGACGAGGUGGGCGGAGGGGCGGAGGGCGACUCUUGGGAGGAGGAAGGUUUCGGCUCCUCGUCGCCAGUCAAGUCGCCGGCGGCCCCCUACUCCUUGGGCAACUCCUUCUCUCCUGUGCUCUGCGGCGGCCCGGGGGAUGCGUCGCCGGGGCGCACCAGGGCCCCUGCUCGCCGCGGCCCGACCACCCGGGCACCCCGACGCACAAGACCUUCCGCAAGCUGCGGCUCUUGGACACCCCGCACAUGCCCAAGAGUUUGCUCUCCAAAGCUCCAGGAAUUGAUUCCAGCUCUGUUAAACUCCGGGGUAGUUCACUCUUCAUGGAUACAGAAAAAUCAGGAAAAAGGGGAAUUUGAUGUGCGACUCCUCAAGUGAAUAUGAAUCGUUUUUCUCCGGAUUCUGUGUUGCUUCAUUCCUCAGGACAGUGUCGUUGUAAAAAGGGCAUACUGGAAUGAUUCCUGUGAUGAAGACAUGGAUGCCAGUGAUUAUGAGCUUGAAGAUGAAACAAGACCUGCUAAGAGAAUUAUAGUUUCUGAAAGCAAUAUGAAGUCCCGGUAUAAAACAGAAUUUCAUGAGCUAGAGAAAAUUGGCUCUGGAGAAUUUGGUUCUGUAUUUAAGUGUGUGAAGAGGCUGGAUGAAUGCACUUAUGCCAUUAAGCGAUCAAAAAAGCCACUGGCUGGCUCUGUUGAUGAGCAGAACGCUUUGAGAGAAGUAUGCCUGUGCAGUUCUUAGACAGCAUUCUCACAUAGUUCGAUAUUUCUCUGCAUGGGCAGAAGAUGAUCAUAUGCUUAUAUAGAAUGAAUAUUGUAAUGGUGGAAGUUUAGCUGAUGCUAUAAGUGAAAACUACAGAAUCAUGAGUUACUUUAAAGAAGCAGAGUUGAAGGAUCUCCUUUUGCAAGUUGGCCAGGGUUUGAGGUAUAUUCAUUUAACAUCUUUGGUUCACAUGGAUAUAAAACCUAGUAAUAUUCUCAUAUCUCGAACCUCAAUCCCAAAUGCUGCCUCUGAAGAAGGAGAUGAAGAUGACUGGGCAUCCAACAAAGUUAUAUUUAAAAUAGGUGAUCUUGGGCAUGUAACAAGGAUUUCCAGUCCACAAGUUGAAGAGGGUGAUAGUCGUUUUCUUGCAAAUAAAGUUAUACAGGAGAAUUAUACCCAUCUACCAAAAGCAGAUAUUUUUGCACUUGCCCUCACAGUGGUAUGUGCUGCUGGUGCUGAACCUCUUCCCAGAAAUGGAGAUCAAUGGCAUGAAAUCAGACAGGGUAGAUUACCUCAGAUACCACAAGUGCUUUCCCAAGAAUUUACAGAGUUGCUGAAAGUUAUGAUUCAUCCAGAUCCAGAGAGAAGACCUUCAGCAAUGGCAUUGGUAAAACAUUCAGUGUUGCUAUCCGCUUCUAGAAAGAGUGCAGAACAGUUACGCAUAGAAUUGAAUGCCGAAAAGUUCAAAAAUUCACUUUCACAGAAAGAACUCAAGAAAGCACAGAUGGUAAAAGCUGCAGCUGAGGAAAGAGUGAUCUUCACUGACUGGAUGACCACUAGGUCCACCACCCAGAGUAAUAGAACAUCUUGACUUAUUGGAAAUAAAAUGAACUGCUCUGUCAGCCUUACUAUAUACUGAGCUACUCAUUUCCCACCUCCCCCUAUAAACUGUGAUGAGAGGAAGCUAGGUUGGAAUCACUGAUAGACUUCAGUCUGCAAUUACUUUUCUCAAUUGGUGUCAGUAGUUUUACUGAUUAGGACUUUUAUUGUGAAUUACAGUUGAAAGCUGUAUUUUGACCAUUGCUGUGUCAGGCUUUCAUCUAAUCUUACCAGUCUAUUUUCUGUAGGAUGUGUCACUGUUGGAUGUUACACCAGCCUUUCCAGGGUUAACCACUGUGGUGGUGUGCUGCUUAUAGUUUACUGUUGCAUUGUAACAAAAGGUGUCUUUCCCUGUAGUGACCUGUAAAAAGAACUCAAGGGCUUUAUUACAGACAUACUCUCCCUUUGAAAAGGGACAUGCUAAAAGACUCACUACUACUCAGCCUUCAAUGUACCUGUGUGUCCCUCUUAUAUUUAUUUUUUUUUAAUUGUGAAUUAUACUUGUAUAUCCCACUUGGAGCACUUUGUAGGCAUUGCAUGAACCAUGGGAUGAUAAUUCUGUGGAAGUAUUGCCUUGUGAAUUUGCUACUAUUUUAGUUUUGUCUUUGCUGUAAACUUGUAGCAUUAAACAAGUUUUCGGGGGGAGGACUCAAGAUGGCGCUGUGAGAAAAACCCAGGAUUGGAGUUCUCAUUGUGUCUGCGGAGAGGUGAGUCUGAGCUGCAUUUCCAGACUGAUCUUUGUUGCCCAUGGAACGGCAAA
Non-coding RNA from Callithrix jacchus (white-tufted-ear marmoset), 2815 nucleotides. The record is from RefSeq and is a predicted model, not a curated record. Lineage: Eukaryota; Metazoa; Chordata; Mammalia; Primates; Cebidae.